Molecule: ribosomal RNA, 906 nt
Filed under: Triticum aestivum (bread wheat)
Lineage: Eukaryota; Viridiplantae; Streptophyta; Magnoliopsida; Poales; Poaceae
Description: partial small subunit ribosomal RNA
Source: RNAcentral
AUGCCGCCCAAAACACCCAUUACAUGCAAUUGGGUCAAGUCCAUCGUCAUAGAUAGCACAUUUGACGAUUUUAUGAAGACUGUCUAUCUGCCAAAGAAGGAAAUCAUGUCCUAUCGUGCACCUAAUCCAACCGAAGAAAAGCCUCAACCUAAAGAGGGGGAAGUCAUCGUCUUCACUGAUCACAUGAACCGAGGCUUUCCCCCACCCGGCUUAAAGUUUUUUAGAGACGUCUUACACUUCUUUGACCUCCAUCCUCAAGACAUCAAACCCAACUCCAUGUCUAAUAUUUGCAACUUUCAAGUGUUUUGUGAGGUUUAUCUUGGAGAAGAACCCAGCUUGCUGCUCUUGAGAGAGUUAUUUUAUUUGAACCGCCAGAAUGAACGUGCCAACGGGCCUAGUUUGAAACUUGGUGGGGUCUCAAUCCAAAGACGGAGAGACGCCAUUUUCCCUUAUGCAAAUCCACCAAGUCACCCCAAAGACUGGAACCAAACUUGGUUAUAUUGUCAAGACACUUCUCCGGCUUAUGAGAACCCUCUGCCCAGCUUUCGCGCCCUGUGCCUCGAGUCUAAUCAUCCUCUACCAGACAAGUUAUCCGCUGUUGAAUGCCAGAAGCUCGCCCCUACCAUGGUUAAAGUGAAGGCUCUUUUGGGGAAUGGUUUAAGCGGUAUCGACUUGGUCCGGGUUUGGCUUGCCUGGCGGAUCAUCCCAUUGAGCCGACGUCCUGGUUUGAUGUGCACCUACACAUGCGAGAAGAAUGAUCCUUUGCGGCACAGCCCUGAUGAUUUACCUGAUGACGUCAUUGAUAAUAUGACAAAGUCGCUUUUGAACGAAAGCCUAGCAGACUGUGGCAAGGUGGGCUUAAACCCUUUCUGCAAAGCUAACCCGACUCCAGCGGUAAGCCACUAA